AACCUGCUCUGGUUCCCUUCCAUGCUGUGGAAGCUUUGUUCUUUUGGUCUUCACGAUAAAUCUUGCUGCUGCUCACUCGUUGGGUCCGUGCUGCCUUUAAGAGCUGUAACACUCACCGAGAAGGUCUGCAACUUCACUCCUGGGGCCAGCAAGACCACGAAUCCACCGAGAGGAAUGAACAAUUCUGGACACACCAUCUUUAAGAACCGUAAUACUCACCGCAAGGGUCUGCAACUUCAUUCUUGAAGUCAGUGAGGCCAAAAACCCACCAAUUCUGGACGCAUUUUGGUGACCUUGAAGAGACUAUCACCUAUCACGAAGUGGUGAGAAUAUUGCCAAGCAGUGAGACUAUCACCAAGUGGUGAGACCAUCACCAAGCGGUGAGACUAUCACCUAUCGCCAAGUGGCCUGAUUCAGCAGGAAGCAUCUCAGACACCAACCACUAUGCUGUCAGCAGUGGCCCGGGGCUACUGGGGCUGGUUUCAUCCCUGUGCUAGGCUUUCUGUGAGGAUGAGCAGCACUGGGAUAGACGGAAAGGGCGUCCUGGCUAACCGGGUAGCCGUGGUCACGGGGUCCACCAGUGGGAUUGGCUUUGCCAUCGCCCGACGUCUGGCCCAGGACGGGGCCCACGUGGUCAUCAGCAGCCGGAAGCAGCAGAACGUGGACUGGGCCAUGGCCAAGCUGCAGGGGGAGGGGCUGAGCGUGGCGGGCAUUGUGUGCCACGUGGGGAAGGCUGAGGACCGGGAGCAGCUGGUGGCCAAGGCCCUGGAGCACUGUGGGGGCGUCGACUUCCUGGUGUGCAGUGCAGGGGUCAACCCUCUGGUGGGGAGCACUCUGGGGACCAGUGAGCAGAUCUGGGACAAGGGACCUCAGGGUGGUAUCCACUUCUGACAUCUGGACCACUUCUUGCAGUCAUUGGGGGUCAUCCCCCACACUGGUAACCUGUCAUCAAAUGGGCCACAGCAACAUUCAGCUUAAGUAUUUCUCCUUCCCACAUCCAAGGGAUUGAGUGGGCGUGAGAUUGGGGGGUGGAAAAAACAGUGAACAGUCCUGGUGAGUUGCAGAUGUGGUCUCAUUCCCUAGAGAUGCAGGAUGCAGCUGACCUGAAUCAGGACAGAUCCCUGCAGGAGGGACUCCUGGUGCCAUGUCAGUCCCACCUGGCACUGCCCUAGCUCCCAGGCUCCGCCUCUGCAUCUUUCCUUGCUACUUCCUCUUUCACUUCUCCCCUGUUCCCAGACCCACCAGACAGAGCUUCCAGAGUGUCAGGACAUGUGUGACUUAGCCCAGAUUCAGACUUUAGUCACAAGCAGGAUCAGCAUAGACAUCUAGCUCCCAGCAUGGCAAUUCUCUGUUGUGUCUCCCUGUUUGUAUUGGCUGCAGGAAAGCUCAGAGCCAAGUCUGCGAUAAGCUGGUGUGUGUAGGCCCUUACAGCCUGCAUUUUUAUGACCAAAUAAUAGAAUAAAUGCUCAGUCCUUAUCACAUGCUGUGAACUGUAGGCACCAACCUCACUCUAGCUUUUUCUUAUUUUUCUACACUGAUUUUUCCUUUUCUCCAUUUCUUCACACAUAGUACCUAUUUGAUUUAUUUUAUGCUGUUGCACUGUGAGUAUGCCUUAAAUUCUAUGGGGACAAGGUAAGAGGACAAGCAAAUGAAAGCUCAGAGAGACAAAAAAGGCUCUUCCAGAAAUCUCCCUUGCUUCUAGCACCUGCUUCCCCUCCAUCAGGCUGUCUUCAGUCUUUCUCCAGAGGCCUCUGCUUACAGUGUGUUGUUGUUUUCUUUUUAAGAGACAGGGUCUCACUCUGUCACCCAGGCUGGAGUGCAGUGGCAUGAUCAUGGCACACUGCAGCUUCAAACUCCUGGGCUUAAGGGAUCCUCCUGCCUCAGCCUCCUGAGUAGCUAGGAUUAUAGGUGUGCACCACCACACCAGGCCAAUUAUUUAAAAAUCUUGUAGAGACAAGGUCUCACUAUGUUGCUCAGGCUGGUCUUGAACUUUUGGCCUUGAGUAAUCCUCCCACCUUGGCCUCCUAAAGUGCUGAGAUUACAGGCAUGACCCACUGCCCCCAAUCCCCAUUUUCUUUAAACGUCCUGAACAUUUCCUUCCUCGUGUCAGUCCUGAACAAUUCACAUUUUCAGGGCUCUGCUCACAGGCCUGUGACUUAGCCUGCCUGCCUAUGAAACCAUUAGCAAAUUGGAAAUACCUCUUGCACCGGUCAGAAGGGGGAUUGGUUUCUCUUAUAUGCACAUAAAUUGGGUCUACUGCACAAAUUACAGGGCUCCAAGUGUCUUAUGAGAGCGGGACUUGGGCUGACCAUGUCUCUCUGCCCUCACCCAUGCUCUGCUCUGAUUUCAGAUCCUAAGUGUGAACGUGAAGUCCCCAGCCCUGCUGCUGAGCCAGUUGCUGCCCUACAUGGAGAACAGGAGGGGUGCUGUCAUCCUGGUCUCUUCCAUUGCAGCUUAUAAUCCAGUAGUGGCGCUGGGUGUCUACAAUGUCAGCAAGACAGCGCUGCUGGGUCUCACUAGAACACUGGCAUUGGAGCUGGCCCCCAAGGACAUCCGGGUAAACUGCGUGGUUCCAGGAAUUAUCAAAACUGACUUCAGCAAAGUGUUUUAUGGGAAUGAGCCUCUCUGGAAGAACUUCAAGGAACAUCAUCAGCUGCAGAGGAUUGGGGAGUCAGAGGACUGUGCAGGAAUCGUGUCCUUCCUGUGCUCUCCAGAUGCCAGCUACAUCAACGGGGAGAACGUUGCGGUGGCAGGCUACUCCACUCGGCUCUGAGAGGAGUGGGGGCGGCUGCGUAGCUGUGGUCUCAGGCCCAGGAGCCUGAGAGGGUGUCUAGGUGAUCAUUUGGAUCUGGAGGCAGAGUCUGCCAUUCUGCCAGACUAGCAAUUUGGGGGCUUACUCAUGCUAGGCUUGAGGAAGAAGAAAAACGCUUCAGUAUUCUCCUUAGGACUUAUCUGCUUGUAGAUUUGGCUGAUCCAAUUAACAUGUGGGGUUCUUGGUGUGGGUCUGGGGAGCUGAAGGAUUUUAUGGAGCUGGUGCUUUGGAGGAAUCUUAAGGGAAAGGAGUAGAAGCUCAGGCCUUUGAAGGAUUUCAGCUCCUCCUCUCUGUAAUUUGUGCUUUAAGCAUUUUUUUCCUAAAAUAAACUCAAAUUUAUCCUC
This 3156-nucleotide small RNA is filed under the name Pan troglodytes (chimpanzee). Its description in RNAcentral is "retained intron". The record is from RNAcentral. Lineage: Eukaryota; Metazoa; Chordata; Mammalia; Primates; Hominidae.